This 383-nucleotide ribosomal RNA is filed under the name uncultured bacterium. Its description in RNAcentral is "bacterial SSU rRNA". It matches the Rfam family "Bacterial small subunit ribosomal RNA", at positions 28 to 404 of the family's 1533-position model. The record is from RNAcentral.
GGUGAACGCUGGCGGCGUGCUUAAUACAUGCAAGUCGAGCGAGGACCACCUGGUGGCAACACCGGGUGACUCCUAGCGGCGAACGGGUGAGUAACACGUGGGCAACCUGCCCCCGACUCUGGGAUAAGCCCGGGAAACUGGGUCUAAUACCGGAUACGAACCUCCUCCGCAUGGUGGAGGUUGGAAAGGGUCUCCGGUCGGGGAUGGGCCCGCGGCCUAUCAGCUUGUUGGUGGGGUAACGGCCCACCAAGGCGACGACGGGUAGCCGGCCUGAGAGGGUGAACGGCCACACUGGGACUGAGACACGGCCCAGACUCCUACGGGAGGCAGCAGUAGGGAAUCUUGCGCAAUGGGCGAAAGCCUGACGCAGCGACGCCGCGUGC